CACCUCUCUUUUUCCCUCUUCCUCUUUCUUUCUUCCAGCCAACGUUCCAGCCAACGUUCAGCCACCAGCAAGCCGCGUGUGACUCGCACCACCUGUCACCUCCGACGUCACUGACGCUGCUGACGCUAAACAACCAGCCACGCGUCUCCUCUGCAAGGGAACAACAAGGGAGGGUUUUCGUUCACUGUUGCCAAGGGGUCUCCUGGUCCACAUCUUUAGUAAUUGCUUAUCUUAUUUGGAGAGAAGGCCAGAGUUUUGACGAUGCUUUUCAGUAUGUGAAAGCAGCGAGAGGAGAGAAGGCUAGAGUUUUUCUUGUCUGAGAUUUUUUAUCACAGGCUCUUUGGGAUAAAACUCUUGAGCUCAGAUUUUUACUUCAGAAAGCAAUCUAAAGUUCAAAUAAAUCAUCUCAGUGCUUUCACGCUAUAUGAUACGGAAAAAGGAAAAAGAGUUGUAAGUCUAAAGUAUUAUAGUCCAAAAUGCCGACAACAACCAAAAACCACAGAGUGCAGUAUCUACUGCAUGAAGUAUGCUAGGGAUCACAUUUCACAACAAAGAACCAGAGCAUAUCUAUCGAAUAAUUUCAAUUCAGAUUUACCAUAUACUGACGCUGAACUUAAUGAAGUUUAAGAAGAGUGGGCAAAAUAUAUUCUACCGCAUCUCGUUAAUGAUGGCAUGCAUGCUUAGUACCUAUGUGAGGGGAUUUAGUCAUUUUUUGAACUUUCUAGUUCUUUUAUUAGAAAUUGUUAGAACUAAUCAAAUACAGAAUCAAUCUAACAAAUUAUAGGUUGAGUUAAUUUAGCUUUUUGAGGUGCAUACUGUGCAAAAGAUUCAUUUUAUGACAAAUUUUUUUGGAACUAUGUAUUUCUUUUAUUUAGAAAGUGUUAGAACUAAUCAAAUAUAAAGUUAAUGCUAC
Long non-coding RNA from Humulus lupulus (European hop), 913 nucleotides. RefSeq lists it as uncharacterized. The record is from RefSeq and is a predicted model, not a curated record. The transcript has 6 exons. Lineage: Eukaryota; Viridiplantae; Streptophyta; Magnoliopsida; Rosales; Cannabaceae.